This 430-nucleotide ribosomal RNA is filed under the name uncultured bacterium. RNAcentral describes it as "partial 16S ribosomal RNA". It matches the Rfam family "Bacterial small subunit ribosomal RNA", at positions 29 to 506 of the family's 1533-position model. The record is from RNAcentral.
AACGAACGCUGGCGGCAGGCCUAACACAUGCAAGUCGAGCGCCCUUUCGGGGGAGCGGCGGACGGGUGAGUAACGCGUGGGAAUAUGCCCUUCUCUACGGAAUAGCCUCGGGAAACUGAGAGUAAUACCGUAUACGCCCUGUGGGGGAAAGAUUUAUCGGGGAAGGAUUAGCCCGCGUUGGAUUAGGUAGUUGGUGGGGUAAUGGCCUACCAAGCCGACGAUCCAUAGCUGGUUUGAGAGGAUGAUCAGCCACACUGGGACUGAGACACGGCCCAGACUCCUGGGGGAGGCAGCAGGGGGGAAUAUGAAACAAGGGGGGAAACCAGAAUCUCGCCGGGCGGGGUGAGUGAGGAGGGCGUAAGGGUAAAAAAGCUCUUUGAGCGGGGAGGAUAAUGAGGGUACCAGCAAAAGAGGCCCAGCCUACCCCGGU